Long non-coding RNA from Cyprinus carpio carpio, 1866 nucleotides. NCBI's taxonomy places the organism in Eukaryota, Metazoa, Chordata, Actinopteri, Cypriniformes, Cyprinidae. The record is from Ensembl.
AUGAUGCUCUGUGGGUGGUGGUCUCCAAAGGCCUGUCAGGACAAUGGAUCAAAUGCCAGCGCUGUUCCUUUGAACUAUUGUGUCUGUGUCUCUCAAAGGCAUUAUCUGACCCAGGACUACCUGGCCUGUCAGCGAAAGAAGCAGGCAGUGCUCAGUGUAGCAAGAAAUCCACUUGUCUGCAGGAGGCCCUAACCUAAAAGCACAAAGAUUAAUGACUGUGGUCCAGAGUGGUGUUACUGAGCGGCCAUGGAGGAAACAGCAGACCAGCGGUGUGGGAUUCCCCCCUCAUAGAACACCAGAUGGUGCGGCCUAGGACAUGGUUUCACUUAAAUGAUUGUUUUCUGACCUCACAUAUUCCUCUACCUAUAUCAUAUUUACCCUUCAAGACUGUACUGCAUUUAAUUAUAUAGUCAGUUAUGUUACAAAGUAUAUUGUAAACCAUACAUGUAUUCAGUAGUGUGCAUUCCCAUAGUCAUACUGUAGACUUUUUUGGAAGUGGCACUCAAAAUCCAUUUUGGAUUUUGACACUACACUACCAUUCAAAAGUUGGAUCACCAAGAUUUUUGUUUAUGAAUUUGUUGUAAAGAGAGGACCUAUUUAAUUGAUCAACGGUGACAGUGAAGUCUGUCUUUUAUUUAUAAUGUUCAAAUCAAUGCUGUUCUUUUCUUCAAAGAUUUCUGGGGGGUUGGGGGGGGUGAAUCAAGGUUUUCACAAAAAACAUUGGGAAGUACAACUGUUUUCAACAUUGAUGAUAAGAAAUAUUGAGCAUCAAAUAAGCAUAAUAGAAUGAUUUCUGAAGCAGCAUGUAACUGCAGAAAAUACAGCUUUCCAAUUCUAGAGAUACGUUAUGUUAAAUUAAAUUUUGAAAUAAAAGUUAUUUUACAUUGUAAAUAUUUCACAGCAAUACUGUUUUACUGUAUUUUUUUUUUUUUAUUAAAAAUGCAGCCUUUCUGAGCAUAAGAGACGUCUUUCAAAGCCAUUAAAAAAAUUUACUGAGCCCAAACUUCUGAAAGCUCAAAAUAUCUUAUACUGUGGGUUUGGUUUCCUAAUCAGAGAAGAGUCUUGUGACAUAAUCAGCAAUGUAAUGCAGUCGUUAAAAACUGCAAGAAAUUAUAAUUAUGCAACUGUUCACCAGAUAAUAAUGGUGUUUUUUCCACCUCUCAAAGAUUAUAGGAUUAUCCAGGCACUCUUGGCUUGUUCUCAACAAGGGAUUUAGAGCUAAAUAGAUUUAGUCAAUAUAAAAGCUACAGUAUAAAGCGCACUGAUUUCUGGGAGAUCCCACUCAUCAUUAAAGGGCCCAUAAGACAUUGCAUGCACUCAGAGGAUAACACUGUAGUAACAUUCUCCAAACGAUGACAUCAACGUUAGAGAAGACGGGGGUGGUUAGAGUCAGUCAGCAGGGUGUGACUAUGAGACGGCUGGCAUUAGGUGCCCUAGAAUAUGCCAGGUGGAAGAGAGAUUCCAAGUUCCUGUCCAGAUUUCAAGGCUUGACAUGACUUGGGUCUACAACACUACAGUUAAAUCUUUAUUUAUUGAGUUUAUUAAAAAGGUUUCUUCAAUGAAACACUCUGAGAAACUAUGGAAACAGAGUCCAACAGAAAUUCUAAACUGUAAUUUGUCUUUGCUCAGUGGUUCGAGUUGCUGGACUUUGCCAUGGCUCACUUGCUGGGUUUGAUGAAAGAGGGCAAAUGUAUUUUUUCCAUUUUCCAUUAAAGUAGACCAUUAUCAAAUUAUAGUAGUUUUAAGCAGGUAGUUCUGAAAAUAAUGAAAUAAAUAAAUAACAAUCUUAAUGGUGCUGUACAGUAGUGCUGGGUUGAAAAUAACUUUAAAUAACUUUGCUUUUAUGAACCAAUAUAUAGAUUUUUA